GAUGAAGAACGUAGUGAAAUGCGAUAAGUAAUGUGAAUUGCAGAAUUCAGUGAAUCAUCGAAUCUUUGAACGCACCUUGCACCCUUUGGUAUUCCGAAGGGUAUGCUCGUUUGAGUGUCAUUGUACUCUCACACUUCUAAUUCCUUUCGGGAUUGGGAGCGGUGGACUUGGGUGUUGCUGCUUUAGUUGUGGCUCACCUCAAAUAAGUUAGUGCAACUCUUGGUUGGACAUAGUACGGCGUGAUAAGUGUCUUCGCCGGUGCCUCGCAAAGAGGGUGGCCGAUCGGGAUGUUGUGCUCCAAACUGUCUUCGGACAAUCUCUGACAACUUGACCUCAAAUCGAGUAAGACUACCCGCUGAACUUAAGCAUAUCAAUAAGCGGAGGA
Molecule: unclassified non-coding RNA, 385 nt
Filed under: soil metagenome
Description: partial contains 5.8S ribosomal RNA, internal transcribed spacer 2, and large subunit ribosomal RNA
Rfam family: 5.8S ribosomal RNA (bases 1-120)
Source: RNAcentral